This 505-nucleotide ribosomal RNA is filed under the name uncultured bacterium. Its description in RNAcentral is "partial 16S ribosomal RNA". It matches the Rfam family "Bacterial small subunit ribosomal RNA", at positions 28 to 507 of the family's 1533-position model. The record is from RNAcentral.
GACGAACGCUGGCGGCGUGCCUAAUACAUGCAAGUAGAACGCACAGUUUAUACCGUAGCUUGCUACACCAUAGACUGUGAGUUGCGAACGGGUGAGUAACGCGUAGGUAACCUGCCUGGUAGCGGAGGAUAACUAUUGGAAACGAUAGCUAAUACCGCAUAAUAUUGAUUAUUGCAUGAUAAUUGAUUGAAAGAUGCUAUUGCAUCACUACCAGAUGGACCUGCGUUGUAUUAGCUAGUAGGUGAGGUAACGGCUCACCUAGGCGACGAUACAUAGCCGACCUGAGAGGGUGAUCGGCCACACUGGGACUGAGACACGGCCCAGACUCCUACGGGAGGCAGCAGUAGGGAAUCUUCGGCAAUGGACGAAAGGCUGACCGAGCAACGCCGCGUGAGUGAAGAAGGUUUUCGGAUCGUAAAGCUCUGUUGUAAGAGAAGAACGGGUGUGAGAGUGGAAAGUUCACACUGUGACGGUAUCUUACCAGAAAGGGACGGCUAACUACGUG